RNAcentral lists this long non-coding RNA (259 nucleotides) under Mytilus galloprovincialis (Mediterranean mussel). The record is from RNAcentral. Lineage: Eukaryota; Metazoa; Mollusca; Bivalvia; Mytilida; Mytilidae.
GUUGUCCUUUGUUGUUGCAAAUUCUGAUACCUGUUUCUUGUCAAAAACAAUUUUAUAUUUCACACUUUCUCCUUGUUCAACUUCUGAGGUUAUGACCCAUCUGAAGAUGCUUGUCAAACUCAACCAGUAAUUUAGUUUUCAUUCUUGAGAAAUCAGAGGUAAAAAAAUAAUGAUGACCAUGUCUGUUGUAUUGUUGCUAUAACCUCCAGUGGAGGAUCCAGCCAUUUUAAAAAGGGGGAGGAGGUUCCCAACCCAGGAC